This 849-nucleotide ribosomal RNA is filed under the name uncultured bacterium. RNAcentral describes it as "bacterial SSU rRNA". It matches the Rfam family "Bacterial small subunit ribosomal RNA", at positions 639 to 1502 of the family's 1533-position model. The record is from RNAcentral.
GUCUUGAGUACAGUAGAGGUGGGCGGAAUUCGUGGUGUAGCGGUGAAAUGCUUAGAUAUCACGAAGGACUCCGAUUGCGAAGGCAGCUCACUAGACUGCAACUGACACUGAUGCUCGAAAGUGUGGGUAUCAAACAGGAUUAGAUACCCUGGUAGUCCACACAGUAAACGAUGAAUACUCGCUGUUUGCGAUAUACAGUAAGCGGCCAAGCGAAAGCAUUAAGUAUUCCACCUGGGGAGUACGCCGGCAACGGUGAAACUCAAAGGAAUUGACGGGGGCCCGCACAAGCGGAGGAACAUGUGGUUUAAUUCGAUGAUACGCGAGGAACCUUACCCGGGCUUAAAUUGCAUUUGAAUAAUCUGGAAACAGGUUAGCCGCAAGGCAAAUGUGAAGGUGCUGCAUGGUUGUCGUCAGCUCGUGCCGUGAGGUGUCGGCUUAAGUGCCAUAACGAGCGCAACCCUUAUCUUUAGUUACUAACAGGUUAUGCUGAGGACUCUAGAGAGACUGCCGUCGUAAGAUGUGAGGAAGGUGGGGAUGACGUCAAAUCAGCACGGCCCUUACGUCCGGGGCUACACACGUGUUACAAUGGGGGGUACAGAAGGCAGCUACCUGGCGACAGGAUGCUAAUCCCAAAAACCUCUCUCAGUUCGGAUCGAAGUCUGCAACCCGACUUCGUGAAGCUGGAUUCGCUAGUAAUCGCGCAUCAGCCAUGGCGCGGUGAAUACGUUCCCGGGCCUUGUACACACCGCCCGUCAAGCCAUGAAAGCCGGGGGUACCUGAAGUACGUAACCGCAAGGAGCGUCCUAGGGUAAAACUGGUAAUUGGGGCUAAGUCGUAACAAGGUAACCA